RNAcentral lists this ribosomal RNA (479 nucleotides) under Streptococcus mitis. RNAcentral's name for it is "bacterial SSU rRNA". It matches the Rfam family "Bacterial small subunit ribosomal RNA", at positions 28 to 491 of the family's 1533-position model. Lineage: Bacteria; Bacillati; Bacillota; Bacilli; Lactobacillales; Streptococcaceae. The record is from RNAcentral.
GACGAACGCUGGCGGCGUGCCUAAUACAUGCAAGUAGAACGCUGAAGGAGGAGCUUGCUUCUCCGGAUGAGUUGCGAACGGGUGAGUAACGCGUAGGUAACCUGCCUGGUAGCGGGGGAUAACUAUUGGAAGCGAUAGCUAAUACCGCAUAAUAGCAGUUAUUGCAUGAUAACUGUUUGAAAGGUGCAAUUGCACCACUACCAGAUGGACCUGCGUUGUAUUAGCUAGUUGGUGGGGUAACGGCUCACCAAGGCGACGAUACAUAGCCGACCUGAGAGGGUGAUCGGCCACACUGGGACUGAGACACGGCCCAGACUCCUACGGGAGGCAGCAGUAGGGAAUCUUCGGCAAUGGACGGAAGCCUGACCGAGCAACGCCGCGUGAGUGAAGAAGGUUUUCGGAUCGUAAAGCUCUGUUGUAAGAGAAGAACGAGUGUGAGAGUGGAAAGUUCACACUGUGACGGUAUCUUACCAGAAAGG